ACAUACACCGCAACCCGCCGCCGGGGAUGAGAGGCGGUGACAGGACGCGUAGGGCCCGCUAACCGCCCCUCGUGUGUUGGGAAGGGAGUGUGCGGGCGUAGAGGGGAGGGACAACUGUUGCUCGCUGGAAAUGGGCGUGAGGGGGCUCCGCUGGUGUUCUGAGAGUCGCCACAUGGGAGAAUGAAGGCUGAUCCCAUGCAAGUGUUGUGUGGUGGUCACCUUGAGGAACGGCGGCCGCCCAAACACUGCGUGGUGGUGGUGGUGGUGGUGAUGCUGGUAGUGAUGGUAUUAGUAUGUGUGGUAGUGAUAGUGGAGACAUGGGCACUGAGUACUGGUAGACAGAGUAACAUUCACUACCCCCCUUAAAACACUCCCUCCCAGUAUCCCCUCGUCCCCUCCCUCCCGCCUCCUCCGUAUGCCACCUGCAGCCUUCACCCUUCCAUCCCCCCAACCACAACCACCACACGUACUCCCCCCACUCUCCUCCACCUCCCUGCCUCCUCAUCUCAACAGUUAGAGGUCUUCUGCUCCACACCCUCACCCUCACCUUCACCUUAGGCCUUGGUAACUGGAAUGUCAGACGCGAAAAUGAAAGGCAAAAAAUAAUAAGUGAGUGACCCUUGCCAGCUUCAUCCCCGCGAGCCGCCGCCGCCGCCACCGCCACCACCGCCACACCGCCGUCAUGCUGUUCUGUUUGUCUCCCGCCGCAGGAAACUUUAUGAAACUCAGUGAAAACGCCAGCACUGCAUCGCUCACUGCUGCUGCUGCUCACUGCCUCGCCUCUAUCGUUCCCCAGCAGAGCCACGCACGAAGUGUAAAGCAAGGAAAAAAAUGAUAAAUAAGAAUAAAGCAGCAAGUGAUAUGAUAAAAUACUCCCUAUACUAAAAAGGAAACGUAAAAUUCUUCCCUUUAUAAAGUGCAAGGAAGGGAAGAUAGAGUGAUAAAAGUAAGCAUGGCAAAGGGUGAUAAAGCAGGAAUGAAGAGCAAAAGGGAAAGUAAAGCUCCCGAUAUUACCAAAGUGAGAGAAUACAAAGAGAAAAGUGUGAUAAAGUAAGGGAGGAGAGAUAAAACAGAAAAUGAAGGUGAAAUUAUUACCAAAAGUGAGAGAAUACAAAAAAUGUGAUAAAGUAAGAAAAGAAAAGAAAAAAACAGAAAAUAAAGUUGAAAAUAUUACCAAAGUGAAAGAAUACAAAGAGAAAAAGUGUGAUAAAGUAAGAAAAACGGGAACAAAAUAAAGCUGCCUGUAUAACUGAGGUGAAAGAAUAAAGGAGACAAAACUGUGAUGAAAUAAGGCUAAAGAGCGAACCAGAAAGCAUAAAAUUACAAAAAAAAGAGAAAAUAAAGAAAAAUGUGAAAAAAACAAGAAUAGAGUGAAAAAAAUAAAGUUAGAAAGUGAAAGAGAAAGAAAAAAAAAUGAUAAAGGAAGAAUAAAGACCGAAACAAAAAGUCUACAUAACAAGUGAAGGAAUAUAAAAGAAAACGGAAUAAAAAAGCGGAAAUAAAGAGCAAAACAGAAAAUAAAGUCCGUAUUACCAAAGGGAGCGAGUAAAGAGUGGGAAAAAAAAGUUCAUAGCAAACGAGAACGUGAAGGUCAAAGUUUGUAAAGUUCAAAGAGAAUGAUCUUAGUGAACUUGAAGGCAGGGGAGUGUGAAAAGUACUCCAUAAAAUGUGGUGCUGGGAUGGCGGUCCGCACACACACACACACACACACACACACACACACACACACACACACACACACACACACACACACACACACACACAGCCUUGAGCCAAUAAAGAGCUAAGCGCAAGGACAAGGAAACAAAGGCUAGCACACCUGCACACACCUGUACAGGCAGUGACAGGUAUUCAAGUCCCGCCCUUCAGGUAACAAUGGAUUCCUAACAUCACCAGCAAGAUCAAAGUUUGCCCAUCAAAGCCGCGCCUUCAAGCUACCCUUCCUGGACUCUAUGGGGGGGAGGGGACACUGGAGGAAGGAACACCAACACAUCAACAAAACAGAGACAAACAACUUCACACACCUUCCCCCUUCACUCCCUCUUGUCGCCUCAAUCCAGAACUGAAAUGCACUUCCAAAGAACCAACCAACCGAGAACACCAAAUUUCCAGCUUCCAUAUGUGGAUGUGGAGUGAGUGACUCAUGUAUCCCAGCAGCCUCCCUUCCCACCACCACACAUCUCAGGAAUCUCCAAACAUAUUCACAAGAACAGUCAACCACAAUUCUCCACAAACAAAUAAAAAACUGCUGCAAAGGAGUGUUCUGUUCCCCUCUGGCCGGCGGUACCCAGAAGCCAGCCUGUGUCUCACCGGCCUGGGCCUCAAGCCUCGGAGCAACACGCUUUGCACAUCCCAGGAAUCUCAUGUGAUUGAAAAAUAUGUAUUUUACAAAUUUAUUAUUCAACAGUAUAAUGUCAAGCAACAGUUUCGUACAGAGGAGGCUAGCAGAUAGAAUUUUGAUGCAGUGUUGUGUUUUCCUUCCAAUUAUGACUCCUGUGUAUAUGUUACAUAACCUAGUACACAUAAUCACUGUUGGGUGUUCCUGAACACAAGACACAGUAUGAACAGCUGCCCAGUCUGCCCCUGCAGGCGUGGGCGACACUCGUACACACGUACAUAGACUCACUGCAGCCACUAGUCGACUCUCACUCCACCGAGACAAAAACCUUCACAUGUAAACAAUUUAAAUUUAAAGUAAAGAGAUACAACU
Molecule: long non-coding RNA, 2710 nt
Organism: Scylla paramamosain (green mud crab)
Lineage: Eukaryota; Metazoa; Arthropoda; Malacostraca; Decapoda; Portunidae
Exons: 5
Source: RefSeq, a predicted model, not a curated record